UACGUAGGGUGCAAGCGUUGUUCGGAAUUACUGGGCGUAAAGGGCGCGUAGGCGGGCCCGUAUGUCGAUUGUGAAAGCCCAGGGCUCAACCUUGGAAUUGCAGUCGAAACUGCGGGUCUUGAAUGCCUGAGGGGAUGGCGGAAUUACCGGUGUAGAAGUGAAAUUCGUAGAUAUCGGUAAGAACGCCUGAGGCGAAGGCGGCUAUCUGGCGGUGCAUUGACGCUGAGGCGCGAAAGCGUGGGGAGCAAAUAGG
Molecule: ribosomal RNA, 253 nt
Filed under: uncultured bacterium
Lineage: Bacteria
Description: partial 16S ribosomal RNA
Rfam family: Bacterial small subunit ribosomal RNA
Source: RNAcentral